Molecule: ribosomal RNA, 492 nt
Filed under: uncultured bacterium
Lineage: Bacteria
Description: partial 16S ribosomal RNA
Rfam family: Bacterial small subunit ribosomal RNA
Source: RNAcentral
AGUGAACGCUGGCGGUAGGCCUAACACAUGCAAGUCGAACGGCAGCACAGUAAGAGCUUGCUCUUACGGGUGGCGAGUGGCGGACGGGUGAGGAAUACAUCGGAAUCUACUUUUUCGUGGGGGAUAACGUAGGGAAACUUACGCUAAUACCGCAUACGACCUACGGGUGAAAGCAGGGGAUCUUCGGACCUUGCGCGAUUGAAUGAGCCGAUGUCGCGUUAGCUAGUUGGCGGGGUAACGGCCCACCAAGGCGACGAUCCGUAGCUGGUCUGAGAGGAUGAUCAGCCACACUGGAACUGAGACACGGUCCAGACUCCUACGGGAGGCAGCAGUGGGGAAUAUUGGACAAUGGGCGCAAGCCUGAUCCAGCCAUACCGCGUGGGUGAAGAAGGCCUUCGGGUUGUAAAGCCCUUUUGUUGGGAAAGAAAAGCAGCAGGUUAAUACCCCGCUGUUCUGACGGUACCCAAAGAAUAAGCACCGGCUAACUUCGUG